GAUGAACGCUGGCGUCGUGCCUAAUACAUGCAAGUCGAGCGAACAGACGAGGAGCUUGCUCCUCUGACGUUAGCGGCGGACGGGUGAGUAACACGUGGAUAACCUACCUAUAAGACUGGGAUAACUUCGGGAAACCGGAGCUAAUACCGGAUAAUAUAUUGAACCGCAUGGUUCAAUAGUGAAAGACGGUUUUGCUGUCACUUAUAGAUGGAUCCGCGCCGCAUUAGCUAGUUGGUAAGGUAACGGCUUACCAAGGCAACGAUGCGUAGCCGACCUGAGAGGGUGAUCGGCCACACUGGAACUGAGACACGGUCCAGACUCCUACGGGAGGCAGCAGUAGGGAAUCUUCCGCAAUGGGCGAAAGCUUGACGGAGCAACGCCGCGUGAGUGAUGAAGGUCUUCGGAUCGUAAAACUCUGUUAUUAGGGAAGAACAAAUGUGUAAGUAACUAUGCACGUCUUGACGGUACCUAAUCAGAAAGCCACGGCUAACUACGUG
Molecule: ribosomal RNA, 497 nt
Filed under: uncultured bacterium
Lineage: Bacteria
Description: partial 16S ribosomal RNA
Rfam family: Bacterial small subunit ribosomal RNA
Source: RNAcentral